UGGGUGUGCUACAAAUCUGCAGUCAUGGCUUUGUGAACCGAUCGUUAAGUAGUGCUGAGUUCAGUCCAAGUCAGCGUCUUUCUCUCUCUCUCACACACACACACACACAUCCACCCAGGAGUUCAACAUCGUGAUCUCAUUCAGAGUGGCUCAGGACCGACGGUAGCUUGCUUUCUGAUCGAUUGAAAAAUAAAUACAAUCAUCUGCCAAGUCAUUUUCUUCUCUUAUGUGCAUUGAAUUUUGUGGGCUAAAUUAUUCCUUUUGUUCAGGUGUGUUAUGUUCUUUUACCCUCUGAUACUUUACACCUUUUACACAUUAUAAAAGACUAAAUCUCUACAGGCCAGGCCUCGUUUUACAAGCCAGAUACAGACUAUUUCAUCUGAAAAUCGUUCAAAUAACCAUUGAAGACAUUCAAGCCCUUAAAAAAAGCUCCCCCACAAAAUAAAUACCAUGGUUUAGACUUCAGUGGGCAUUCACGAUGUGCCAUGAACAUUUACUUGUGAUCUGUGUUUCCUGUUCUAGGACCAGGUUUUUGAUCUAACCAGAGAAAGUGUAGGUUUUGUUUUCACACCUUAAUCCACCCCCCAAAAAACCUCUUACAGACAGCAGCAUGUGUUAGUUAUUGAAACUUGUAGCUUGAAGUCAGCGCUCUGCAGAAUCACAGUAAUGUCACUAAUUUUGGUCCAUUUUUAUCCCCUGGCUGUAAUUAAAGCAACAUGGGGCAAAAAAACAAGCACCUACAGUAAUACCUCAUGUAGCCUGGGCAAUUACACCCACUAAAAGUUUCUCAUCAGUAUCAACUUCAGCCUGCUUUACUCAAUGUUUCCAACAAAAGCUUCUAUACCAGGUAUUAUAAGCUUCAGGAAAUGGACAGAUACUUCCCUCAAAACAUCAUGCGUUCAUACACAGACAACAUACGGUAGAGAGAGGACUUUCAGGAUCGACCACCACGGACCACAACGUUGUGCUAUUAGUACAUAUAGCUUUGAACACUAUUUGGAAAGUAAGAAAGUGAGUCUACAGCUAAAGACAGAGGCUGACCAUGUACAGGAUCAUACUGAGCUUGUCAGUUUAAGAGUAAAAUGACCCCUGUGGCAUCAGACUUCAUUAUCUGAAUACAAGACUCUAGUCAUCACCAUUAGCUACUCAUAUGACAUUGUGGGUUAAUUUAGCCAAUUUGACUGACUUGCAAAUUAGGAAAAUAAACUAUUGUGUAAUUCAGUGAUGGUAGAAAAAAAAAUUAAUAAAUGAGAGAGAGAGAGACACACACGCACAUUUCAAACAAAUGUCUGCAAACCUUUUUUCAACCUGAUCAAAACGUUCCUCAGCAAGCUUUUAUUAAUUUUUUUUUUCCAGCCAGUUGCUAAGGAAAUUUUAAAAAUGAUACCUUUUUCCACAGUGGGGAAUUCAUCAUCAGGGAUAACAGAGCUCUACAAGUGGUGGUUUGUGGCCUCACACAGCGUUUCUGAUUCGGCCCACGUUCGACAAAUCCUGAUUGAUGUGCAGAAUGGAACGGAUCAGGAACUGCCGCUGGUGAUCCCCAUGCGCUACACUUUUGUUUUGAGAAGAUAAUCAUAAUGAAUACAAAUAAGUCACAGAGCAACACAGCUUGAAGAGGCAAUGAACACCAGAUGAAUGGCAUUGCAGUGAUUUAUUUUGUACAGUAUGAAAUGUGCACUACUUUGCCCCGACUGUAAAGGCAAAAGCAAAGCAUAUUUACACGCUGGAGCCAGGCUGGAUGCCUCACUACCUCCCAUCUCUUACAGCCUACACUGAAACACAGAUAGGGCUUCAGAUUCAGGAUUCAAACUCCAUGAACCACAUUCCUGCUAAAGUAGUAAUCCCUUAAAAUAACUAUAGCCCAGAAAAGGCAGAAAAAAAAUUAAAAAGCAAAUAAAAAAUAAAAAAAAA
Molecule: long non-coding RNA, 1911 nt
Organism: Tachysurus fulvidraco (yellow catfish)
Lineage: Eukaryota; Metazoa; Chordata; Actinopteri; Siluriformes; Bagridae
Exons: 2
Source: RefSeq, a predicted model, not a curated record